RNAcentral lists this long non-coding RNA (882 nucleotides) under Zea mays. Its description in RNAcentral is "long non-coding RNA (ZMAY_LNC000590)". The record is from RNAcentral. Lineage: Eukaryota; Viridiplantae; Streptophyta; Magnoliopsida; Poales; Poaceae.
AAAGACUCUAAUAAGCAACAUCAGACUUAUAAAUGUUUGGGAUGUAAUUAAGGAUGAAGGUGGAGCAGAUCGGAGGGGACUAAAAUGUAUAUACCUCAGAGUAACUUACUUUAGGUCUUGCUCUAAAUCCUCAAGUCCUCAUAUGUAGAGAAUUGCGAGUAGGUAGACUAUCCAUAAUCAAACAAAAUAUCAAUCAAACUAUGUUCCUGCCACAUUUUGCAAAUUGAUAUAAAUUGCAGUUAACAGUACUGUAGAAGUCUUGAGUUAUAUUAAUGUUUUCUAGAAAUACAGAUGCAUACACUCAAAAAAUAAUUUGUGUUAAGAGUAAUGUAGAAUCUGGUUCAUUACAUAUGUGUAGUGUCUAUCAUGUAUCUCUAGUGUGGAGGCUUGUAAGACUACAAUGUGCCUAAAUAAAAAGACUGAAGAUGCUGAUCCAAUGGGAGGAAAAAAUAGUAGUUGGAUGUGCUUUCUGACAAAAGUGAACUAACAUCAAACAUCCUUUUUAUAAAUGAAAGUGUUGGUGUUCAUCAGAUGCUUCAGUAAUGUUUCUAGUCCCAGGAAGAUCUAUUCAAUGCAUGACUUCAUAUAUACGUGCAUACAAAAUAAUGCACGAUUGUCACAAGACAAGCUAGAGAAAGUAAGACAAAAAUCACACUCAAGCAAGUUCUCUUGUUGGUGCCAAGAUUAUGGCUAAAGGAUUCCUGCCAAAUCUGCAUGCUUCGUACUAUGCAAUUAUUACAAUAUAUUAUAUCUCCCUGGUAGAUAAAUUAAAAGAAUUCCACAUGUGAAAGAGAAACGAACCCAUUCUUCUCGUUGUAGCUGAGGAUCUUGUCCAUGAUAGGAAUAACAAAAGCCAGGGUCUUCCCAGUCCUGUUCGAGCAC